This 950-nucleotide long non-coding RNA is filed under the name Numida meleagris (helmeted guineafowl). RNAcentral describes it as "lncRNA (ENSNMEG00000000428.1)". The record is from RNAcentral. Lineage: Eukaryota; Metazoa; Chordata; Aves; Galliformes; Numididae.
GGCUGUCACCCCACUGUCACCCUCCUGUCACCCCACCAUUCACACGGCUGUCACCCUGCUGUCACCCCGCUGUCACCCUCCUGUCACCCCACUGUCACCCUCCUGUCACCCCACCAUCUCACUCCUGUCACCCUCCGGUCACCCCACCGUCACCUCCACUGUCCCCCCCCUGCUGUCACAGUUCCAGCCCAGCACCCCCACACCUCAACCCCACGCCUUACGGGGCAGCCCCACGCGCUAUGGGGCAGCCCCACGCGCUAUGGGGCAGCCCCACGCGCUAUGGGGCAGCCCCACUCACCGCGUGUGCAGGUGGAGGUGGUGGUUGACAAACUCCACGUCCUGGGAGUACAGCCCAUAGUCGGGGAUCUUCACGAAGAAAUUGGGGAGCUGGGGGGGGGGGGGCACAGCGUCCCCGUUGUGUCACCGUUGUGUCACCCGGCGGGCGAGCUGUCACCCGAACCCUGCCCAUUUGUCACCUCCAAGGUGCCCAUUUGUCACCUGAACUCAUUGCUGUCACCUUCAGCAUGUCACCCCGACUCUGUCACCUCCAGGGCGCCCAUUUGUCACCCGAACUCUGUCCCUGUCACCUCCAAGGUGCCCAUUUGUCACCUGAACUCAUUGCUGUCACCUUCAGCAUGUCACCCCGACUCUGUCACCUCCAGGGUGCACAUUUGUCACCCGAACUCUGUCCCUGUCACCCACAGGGUGUGCGGUUGUCACCCCAACUCUGUCCCUGUCACUUGCAGGGGAAGUUGUCACCCCAACUUGGUCCCUGUCACCUGUGGGGUGAGCUGUCACCUCAACUCUGUCCCUGUCACCCCCCCCGGGCUCACACUUGUCACCCCAACUCUGUCCCCGUCACCUCCAGGGCACCCAUUUGUCACCCAAACACCCGGGUGUCCCACACCGGGACCCCUCCACCCACCCCGACACUUCCUUUACCCUUUCAG